UGGGGAAUAUUGCACAAUGGAGGGAACUCUGAUGCAGCGACACCGCGUGAGUGAUGAAGGAAUUCGUUUCGUAAAACUCUGUUCUAUGGGAAGAAAAGGACUGUACCAUAGGAGAAAGCUCCGGCUAAAUACGUGCCAGCAGCCGCGGUAAUACGUAUGGAGCGAGCGUUGUCCGGAAUUAUUGGGCGUAAAGGAUGCGCAGGCGGCUUUACAAGUUGGAUGUGAAAUAUUGUGGCUCAACCACAAACGUGCAUCCAAAACUGCAAAGCUUGAGUUAAGGAGAGGUAAGUGGAAUUCCUGGUGUAGCGGUGGAAUGCGUAGAUAUCAGGAGGAAUACCGGUGGCGAAGGCGACUUACUGGACUUAAACUGACGCUCAGGCACGAAAGCGUGGGGAGCAAACAGG
This 404-nucleotide ribosomal RNA is filed under the name Fusobacteriota bacterium. RNAcentral describes it as "Fusobacteria bacterium partial 16S ribosomal RNA". It matches the Rfam family "Bacterial small subunit ribosomal RNA", at positions 355 to 776 of the family's 1533-position model. Lineage: Bacteria; Fusobacteriati; Fusobacteriota. The record is from RNAcentral.